CGCACAAGGCGGGGUCAUGCCGCCGCUUCCCGGGCCUUCUGGGUAGUGUAGUUUCGGGGGCGGGGGCGGCCCGGGGCCUUGACUCCACUUGGUGGAAACCCCCAGGCGCGGACACAAGGCGCGGCUCGCCGCGUAGGCGCCGCCCGCGGGGCCGGAAUCUCUGAGGAUGUCUGCGGUGCUCCAGAAGCUCAAGAGGUUCAAGCUGCGGGCCCUGCACAACCAGAAGAAAUUUGGGGUGGCGGGCAGGAACUGCGAGGAAGUGCUGCGGAAGGGGUGCCUCCACUUGCAGCUCCCCGUUCCUGGCUCCACCCUGUGUCUCUACGAGGAUGGCACGGAGGUGACUGGAGAUUACUUCUGGAGUGUCCCCGAUGACUCGGAGCUCGUGCUUCUCACUGCGGGGCAGACCUGGCAGGGUUAUGCGAGUGACAUCAACCGCUUCCUGAGCGUGUUCCAGGAGCCGCACGCAGAGCUCAUCCAGGCCGCCCGGCAGCUGCUGUCGGGCGAGCGGGCCCCGCUGCGUCAGAAGCUCCUGGCCGACCUGCUGGGCACCGUCAGCGAGAACAUCGCGGCCGAGACCAGGGCUGAGGACGCGCCGUGGUUCGAAGGUUUGGAGUCCCGGUUUAGGAACAAGUCUGGCUACCUGAGAUACAGCUGUGAGAGCCGGAUCCGGAGCUACCUGAGAGAGGUGACGUCUGGCGCGUCCCUGGUUGUGACGGAGGCUCGGGAAGAGUACCUGCGGGUCGUGGGUGCCAUGUGUCAGAAGCUCCAGGCCGCCCGCUACAACAGCAGCUACUUUGACAGGGGGGCGAAGGCCGGCCGCCGGCUCUGCACGCCCGAAGGCUGGUUCUCCUGCCAGGGUCCCUUUGACGUGGACGACUGUGCUUCCAGACACUCCAUCAACCCCUACAGUAACAGGGAGAGCCGCGUCCUCUUUAGCACCUGGAACCUGGACCAUGUGUGAGUGCGUGGGGCUGAAGGCCACAUCCACAGACCCGGAGUGCACCUGCGACCUGGCGCUGCCCAACCUCCGCGGCUGGCGGGCUGCCUGGUGCGCCACGCGCCCAGUGCACGUGUCACGGACCCACAGACGUCGUGGGCGUGUGGCGUGGAAGGGGUUGCCGGGAUCGUGUGGUGCUGACACUCCUGGGCUGCGUGGCGGGUGUCACUCAGCGCGGUGGGCUCAGAUCCCCGUCCGCACCUGUGCAACCCCGCGCGUCCCCUCCCACCGCCAGCGCCCACCUGUGGGCGGAGGCAGUGGUCGGCAGCUGCGGCCCGGUCAGUGUGGCACGGGCGCAGCUGUGUGUGGUCCCUGCCUCGCCCAGGGAGUGGGAGCUCUGCGUUGUGACGUGUAGGGCGUUUCCUGCUUCAACCAGGGUUAGCAAGUCUUGGCUGGCAGGAUCAUUUUAUGUGUGUAUCAGCUCAUUCUAAAAACAAGGGCAGAAAAGGAAAAUUUUAUUAUUUUAACUGAGAUGCUUUUCUUGUUGAUCCCUGAACAACGUGGGGUUUGAACUGCAUGGCUCCACUUAUACGUGGAGUUUUCAGUAGGAAAUACUAGAGUACUGCUCCAUCCACGUCGGUUGACUCUGCGGAUACCGAGCCGCGGAUACAAAGGAACCCUGCACGCAGAGGGCCUCCUGUAAAGUUACACGUGGAUUUUUGCCUGCGUCGGGUGCUGGCUCCUAACGUCCCCUGCCUCCCGUCCUGCGUGUUGCCGGGUUGCUCUCCAGGGUGGUCCCACCGACACCCUCACCGGCUGUGGGUUCACGCGCCCCAGGCUUCACCACCUCUUGGUAUCAGUCCUCUUUUUGCGCUCUCCCAGUCUGAUGGGCGAGAAAGAGAUUCUCCUGUUGCAGUUCAUUUGCCUGAUUACUAGGAAGGUUGAAUGUCCGUGUGUUUAUUGGCCACUUGUGUUCUGUGAACUGGCUUUUGCUUCCUCUGCUCAGUUUUUACUGGGCUUUGGUUUUCUAAUUAAUUUGUAAGAAUUCUUUACACGUCCUGGUUACUGAUUCUUUGGUGGCUCUUCGUGUUACAGGUAUGUUUUUACAGUUUGGGCUUGUCUUUCGCUUCUGGGAUGUCUUUGAUCGUCACGGGUUUAAAUUCCAGUGUACUGAGAUGUAGCUCUUCUUUUUUGUGUGAAAUCCUUCCCUUCCUGUAUCAUGAAGAUAUCCUAGUUUUUCUCUACUGGUUGGCUGCGCUGUUUCUGACCUGCCUGGAGCACCCCAAGAUGAUCUCGGGGCUCCAGGCCAUCUGUCUGCUCCUGUCUUUUCACGGCCCACUAGGGGCCACACCGCCAGCAUCUGAGGAGGGAAACAGGCCGGCCUAGAAGAGAACACGGAUGAAGCAGCAGCGUGCACGCCAGACCCUGAGUCAUGUCUCCUGACACGUGCCAGUUACACUGCCGCUCUUCUUCUAAAUACACAUACGUCCACAUAGAUACACGUACUGGCUUUUAAUUUGAAAUGCAGUUUUGACAGCAGGCAGCGGGGGUUUGAAAACACUGGUCUGAUUGUUUCCCUGAGACGUGGACACAGGCCCACCCCGACUCUGAUGGGGCUGAAGCCACAAGCCACGUGUUUAAAUAGUUAAACACUAAAGAGUAACAAACUGUCAGUACAGCACGUGCUGUCCUCCCCCUUGGACUGUGUCACCGCGGCCCAGUCCAGGUUCCUGGGACUUCUCAGGGCUCCGGGACGUGGCCGCAGUGGCCUGCAGUCCGCAGCCUGCCCUCUUCUCUCACCCCUCGGGCCCCCUCACACCACAAGGGCUGCACCACGCAUGUGCAGGCUUAGGGGUGCACGUACGGGGGUGCAGCCUGUCCUGGGAGGAUGUUCCGCGCCUGAGUUCCGGGCGUGUGGGCUGGGCGGCGGGGCAGGGAUCCUGUUCCCCGAGGGCUAAGGGCGCCUCCUCCAAUACCCGGUGUUGCGAGAAGUCUUCCUGUCUGGGAUCAGCGCUUCCCUCCCUCUUUUCAAAACCAUCCUCGGCCUUUUCCUUAACUUCAUUCAUUUGCCUUUUAUUUUGUAUCCCUUCUUUCUACUUUUUUGGGUUUCUUCUUGCUUAUUAGUUAAUUUGCAUCUCUCCUGUUUUCUGACAUAUACAUUUCAGGCUAUCAGUUUCAGCUUUAGCUACCACCUGUGAGUUCGGUAAUUUUAUUGUUAUUCAGGUGUAAGGAUUCUGUCAUUUCCAUCGUGAUUUUAUCGCUGCUCCGUGAACUGGUUAGAAGUGGGCAUUUGUUUUCAGUUGCUGCCGGAUUCCUAGUUGCCUCUCUUGGUACCCGCUCGCUGCUGUGGUCACUCACGCCUCCUCUGAGCCUCAGUGGCGGGGGCGUGAGUGCGAGUGGCCUCAGAUCUGCGUGGCUGGAUUUAAGCUGCUCUGCUGUCUUUCCGCCCCUUUCUUGUCGACUCUGACAUGUCUCCGGGUUUGGGUGAGUGUCCCACUUGCUCUUAUUCCCAUGGGGUCCGAGAUGGCCCCAUCAGAGCUGACGGCUGCCGUCCUCUGCCUGUGUGGUGACGGCCGUGCUCCCUGUCAGCAUCGGGCUCUGCCAGGUCAGUGGUGUUGGCACGUCCCCAGCAUCUUUCUGCAGCCGGGACAGCGUCUGGCCACUGUGGCCAGUGUUGGUGGAGUAAAUAGGAAAUGUGUUUGGACUUCUUUAGCCCUCUAUUCUGGGUUCCCAGUCACCAUUCCAGUCCUUCCCUUUUGGGUCUCCUUUGUGCUUUCUGUGUGUUUAACCGAGUUUUCCUUUUCCCUUGCCCAUCACCCCACCCUUCGGUGGUUUGGGAAAUAGAUGUCUGCUUGUGUUCCCUUAGUGGGGCCCCUGAGUGGAGCACAUCGGAAGCAGAAUUGCGUCCCCCUUGCCCCCAGGCCCCGUGGAGUCACCUUGGUGUCACCCCCUCUGCUCGCCGUGAGCCCUGCACAAAGCGUGGGCGUGUUCCCGGGGUCGGUCCUCGAUUACGCUCACCCACAGAUCACAUGGCACUCAGGCUCACUCCGUCGAUGAUGAGGGUCGGGGGGUCGUAGAAAGGCCCUGAGCGCUUGUUGAGCUGACGUGGCUGCAGGCCGGCGGCCACUCGGCCCGCAGUGCUUUGGAGACAUGACGUCUCAUCUUCUGGCGUCUGUUCACAAGGCUGCCGACAGUCUCCUCUGCUUUUCUGUGGCAGCUUUAGACUUUCCCUUUCUCUUUGAAAAUGAUGUGUAUCUAGUACAGACCUCCAUUUUAAAUUCUGACCGGGACUUGUAUUCUCUGCUCUGAAGAUGUGUCUGUCUUUAAUUUUGGGAAGCUCUUCAGCGUUGAUUCUCUGACUCCCCCUCACGUACCUGGACCAGCUCCUCCGUCCUCCUUGUGCUGCAUCUGCUCUUACACAUUCCCUUUCCCGCGGACUUCCUGCCACGGACUGAACUGUGUCCCCCAAAUUCAUGUGCUGAAGCCCUAACCCCAGGGUGACUGUGUCUGGGGAUAGGCUCUUCAGGAGGUGAUUAAGCGUAAAUGAGGUUGGAAGGGAGGAUCUGAUAGGACUGAUCUGAUAGGACUGUGGUCCCAUAAGAAGUGAGGGCUUGCUCUCCACCAUGUGAGGACGCAGCGAGGGGGCAGCCGUCUGCGAGCCAGGAAGACACUUCUCACCAGAACCCAACCACGCUGGCCCUCUGAUCUCAGAAUCCCAGCCUCCAGAAUGGAUAGAAAAGAAGCGCACGGUCGUCCCCACGCUGGCCGCGGCCAUCCACGACGCCGAGGGGAGAGAAGUGGACUGGAAGUACUUCUACCGCCUGCUCUUCACCUCUGAGAACC
Delphinapterus leucas (beluga whale) is the source of this 4780-nucleotide non-coding RNA. Lineage: Eukaryota; Metazoa; Chordata; Mammalia; Artiodactyla; Monodontidae. The record is from RefSeq and is a predicted model, not a curated record.